UGUUUUAUUUAGUAUGUUUUGCUAACGUAACUGCACCUUAUGAUCGCAUUUGGAGUUUUACAUUUAUAUAUUUUGUGUCCUUGUUACAGUGUAAUUAUAUAAUUAUUUACUGAUAAACUAUUUAAGAAUUCCUUUUCUUUAAAGUAUACUGAGGUUUGUUGCAGCAAGUGAAGUAUGUUCAAUAGGAAUGUUUUCAAUGCAUUGGUCAAGUAUUCACAUUGGCAUUUGUUGUAAAAAAUACAAACAAACAUGUCUUUUGAACAAAAUAGCCUACAGUAGUCUUUGCAUCCUGUUCUAUGACCUAGCAUGCAUUAUAAAUGGACACUACAUUUUCAGCAUUCAUUUUUGUUCAUCAGCUCUGUUUGUAAGAGGCUGGCUAGAUGGAUCAAAGAACAGAACAAGCUUUUGAACACCAUCAGCACUAACAAAGCAAACGUCUAUUUAUCGGCUUCUUCUUUGCUUAUCCUAAACAGCCCUCAGCGCCAUUCAUUGUCUGAGGUUGUUUUAAGUCACCUUCACCUUCUCACAUAACGUACACUUGAACAGGAGACAUAACAUCCCUCCGUUCAAUUUACAGCUUCCCGUUAAUGAAUCCAAACAGUCAUUCGCUGGACAAGCUGAAGACUCUAUAGAAGUUUGAGGUGCUCUCUGGUUGGCUAAUGGUGUUCGUAGAGGGCUAUUCAUUCUCAGCUUUCUUGGCUUCGCACCAUCUUGUCAAUUUGGCUGAGGAUUGUCUCCCGCUUUCAAACAAAAUCAAAAGGCCUGAAAGCCAAGUGGUUUGUUAGCUGUAUGUCGAAGCGAUACUACUCUGCGCCCCUCAUUUAGAUGGUCAAGGAAUCUGACACAAAGCACACGCGAAGCCCAUGUAAGCGUUAGAGCUUCCCGGUUUGGCUCGCUCUGAGCACCCUUAGCUCUCUUCGCGCUGCUCCAAAUGAAUGGACGGCUCUGAUGUGAUCUGUGCUGUUAGCUGGGAAAUGGGGAUGCAGAAUGACCAUUAUAAGAGUGAAGAACUGUAGAAAGAAGAAAGAAAGAAGAGAGAGAUGAAUCUAGUCUGCUUGCACUGGAAGAUGAACGUAUUAUGAAUAAUGCCUCUAUUUUUCCAUCCAAUUCCCAAUUCCAUCUCUCAGCCCAUUGUCACGGUCGCCCCAUUACUGCUUCAGUUUUCAUCCCUGAAUUCGAUAUUGGGGAAUUGAUCUCAUAUUUAUUUAAAAUAAGAUUAUGUCUUUUAUUAAAACAGAUUUCUUUUCUCUCCAGCCAGAUCCAAUGAGAUAAAAGGAAAUUAUUGAGAACACACUCAUCUGCCGUGACAUCCAAAGUCCAAGUUCAUUCACAACCUCAUUUGAGUAAUGAAAAAACCCAUAAAGCAUUAGUUAAGACAUUUUCUUUUAUUAUUUAUGAGAAGGAGGUAUCUUAUUUUUGUCCGCAUGGGUAUGAAUGUUUCAUAGCGUUGCAUUCUGAGAGAUGUAACGUUUAGGGUUAUUAUAGUUAACAAAAAUUGCUUAAAUGUUAAGUAUUAAGUAUUUCAUAUGGCCAUAUUCAUUUAACUUUACUAAAAUAAUAUUUUUUAAUUAGAAUUUUUUUUCAAUUUUAUAUGGUACUGUGCGUUCGCUCUCAAUUUUUUGUGUGUACAUCUUUUAAUGCAAUUAUAAUAACCCAUCUGCUGAAAUGGCUGGUGACUUGUGAGUCCAGAUGGGUGAUAUGAAGUGCUACAAGAUGGCUGAUAGCACUGUAGCCAUUUAUCUCCCUCUCAUUUUAAUUCUUGCUUAUGUUUCAUUCCUCCGUUUUUCUUUUCCCUACUACUUUGCAUGAUGAAGAAAUCCCAGUGUGGCAUAAUGUAAGACAUAAUCACUUUAUCUGGAGCUGGUUUCAGACAAGAACAUGUCCACUUUCCUCUGCCAUUUCAACAAGGACAGCUGGCGUGGCUCCAAAAGAUAAUUUUACCCCAGAGAAUAGAGGAUCGAGCGAGCGAGCGCGAGAGAGAGAGAGAAUGCAUGUAUGCAUGCCCUACCGAUCAGUUCAGCUUCUCUUUUACAUGCCAUAAAGAGCAGCACAUCAACACAGAUUCCUACGCCAGCUAUCUCUGCUCCUAAUGGAUGUGUUUGUGAGGAAAUGAAUAGCUCUUCUUUUCCAUUAAGUGUAUUGGAGGAAUUAGUUUGAGCGUAGCCACUGCAAACCAUGUUAUAUAAAAGUUCCAUCUCUAAUGCAUUUAACUUUUUCCCCCUCUUUCCUCACCAUCAGAUGGGAAUAAUUUUUAACAGAUGAGGCCCAAACUUCGGAGAAAGGCAGAUGUCAUGCUUUCUGGAAUUUACAUUUCUGGUUCUAGUUCAACUGUCUGAAACCGGAGUCAACGGCCAGGCGAAGCACUCUCUCUCUUUAGUUUUUCUUGUCUGCAGGCAAGCCGAGAUGCCUUGGAGGUGGCACUGAGGACCCUUAGAGCUCAGAUAGAUGAGAAGGAGGCCAAGCAGUCACGGUUAAAGGCCAUCCACAGUCACUCUUCCAAUCAGCAAGCACUUCUUAAUCAGCUAUGAGGUCGUCUGGAGGUGGACGACUGCCACCACCGGCACACGCCUGCAACAAUUUGUCAACAGUCAGCAAAACACUAAAUCAAGCAGCAAUUAUCUGCUCUUAAUUAGCAAACGGAAAACGAUUACAAGCGUGGAUUACUGCAAACACAACACCAGACGCUCAGACACCAGAAGGCAUCAGUCGCACCAUAAUCCAGUCAAGUUGUCAACAGAUCACAGGCUAAUUAGGGAAAUUACAGGGCCGCUGAUUGGGAUUUGGAAAUGGAGAGGCAUGUGGUGAGGUUUAGUGGCUUCGGUCAGGAUGAGCAAUCAUCCCGGGUUAGAAGUGUCAAAUAUAGUGUUUUAUGUAUUCAAGAAACUUGGGUUGCGUAAAAUUUUGCCCUUUGAUUUUAAUGCCUUCUGAGACUUUUGUGUAAA
This is a long non-coding RNA of Puntigrus tetrazona (Sumatra barb), 2942 nucleotides long. RefSeq lists it as uncharacterized. The transcript has 4 exons. NCBI's taxonomy places the organism in Eukaryota, Metazoa, Chordata, Actinopteri, Cypriniformes, Cyprinidae. The record is from RefSeq and is a predicted model, not a curated record.